Long non-coding RNA from Spinacia oleracea (spinach), 833 nucleotides. RefSeq lists it as uncharacterized. The transcript is spliced from 3 exons. NCBI's taxonomy places the organism in Eukaryota, Viridiplantae, Streptophyta, Magnoliopsida, Caryophyllales, Amaranthaceae. The record is from RefSeq and is a predicted model, not a curated record.
CUUUACUAACCAAAAAGGGCCUUCAUCUCCGUCUCUUUCUUCCUCACAAAUCUUGUAAUUCCACACUCCUCCGAUUGUCGUUCCAAUCCCAUUUUAGUCUUGUCGUCGUUUAUCUCUCUCCUCCCCCAUGAUUUACCCCCAAUUUUUUCAAAUCGAAAGACUAAUUCGUCGGUAAAUCUAGGGUUUCACACAUCAAAAAAUCGAAAGAGAUUUAAAAUGGUGGAGACGACGUUGUUGGGAAUAAAAACCAUUUGAAAUUGGCGAGAGAAUAUGUGGUUGAAGGCCUCUAUGACACCUCUGUUAUCUUCUUCGAUGGCGCUAUUGCUCAAAGCGAAAAGGUUCUUAGACAUUCCAUGCGAAUGUGAAGUAGAGAAAUGCGGGCUAACUGUAAGCAUGAUAUGAGGAGUUGCUGAUGCAGCUGAAGGUGGAUGAAUUCUUGUGUAGAUGAGACAAUUGGGGUUGUUGUUUCAGAUAAAAGGCUGUCAGAAAAGGUGCUAUUUUCUACUGGAAAACGGAUUCCCUCGGGUGCUUGGGCCCGUGUUGGUCUUACUGUAGUAGUCAUGACAUGACAGGUGCUGAUCACUUCCGGGAUACUUAGGGACAAUGUACUCUUGUCUACUAUCAGAUGUAUGUGCAGGUGCUCGUGCCAAUGUUGGUCACUUGAGUAGUCGUGACAGUUUUGAGCACUUAUGUGGUACUGAAGGACAAGAUGUUAGUAUUAACAACUUUUUCCGUUUUAAGACACAUAUGUUUGUGUCCGCAUUGCGAAUAAUUAUUAUUGUCAAUUUGUUUAAUCUUUAUCACAAUAAUAUAGAUUUCUAACCCUUAUUUUA